CGUUUUCACCCUUUGUUUAUACGUACCAUGUUUCCUCGGGGGGCUUGCCCCCCGUUAGGACACCCCAUAAACCUUUUUGUAAUAGCAGUUAGCGUCUGAAAACUAAGUUAAUUAUUAAAACUUUCAACAAUGGAUCUCUUGGUUCUGGCAUCGAUGAAGAACGCAGCGAAAUGCGAUAAGUAGUGUGAAUUGCAGAAUUCAGUGAAUCAUCGAAUCUUUGAACGCACAUUGCGCCCCUUGGUAUUCCAUGGGGCAUGCCUGUUCGAGCGUCAUUUGAACCCUCAAGCUUUGCUUGGUGUUGGGUGUUUGUCCCGCCUUUGCGUGUGGACUCGCCUUAAAGUCAUUGGCAGCCAUGUAAUUCGGCUUUGAGCGCAGCACAUUGCGAUCUCUCUGCUGGUACAUUGGCAUCCAGAAGCCUUUUUUUACGCUUGACCUCGGAUCAGGUAGGGAUACCCGCUGAACUUAAGCAUAUC
This 473-nucleotide ribosomal RNA is filed under the name Pleosporales sp. PF16. RNAcentral describes it as "eukaryotic LSU rRNA". The stretch from base 119 to 272 matches the Rfam family "5.8S ribosomal RNA". Lineage: Eukaryota; Fungi; Ascomycota; Dothideomycetes; Pleosporales. The record is from RNAcentral.